This 1042-nucleotide ribosomal RNA is filed under the name Alternaria alternata. RNAcentral's name for it is "SSU rRNA". It matches the Rfam family "Eukaryotic small subunit ribosomal RNA", at positions 63 to 1118 of the family's 1831-position model. The record is from RNAcentral. Lineage: Eukaryota; Fungi; Ascomycota; Dothideomycetes; Pleosporales; Pleosporaceae.
GUAUAGCAUUAUACCGUGAAACUGCGAAUGGCUCAUUAAAUCAGUUAUCGUUUAUUUGAUAAUACCUUACUACUUGGAUAACCGUGGUAAUUCUAGAGCUAAUACAUGCUGAAAAUCCCGACUUCGGAAGGGAUGUGUUUAUUAGAUAAAAAACCAAUGCCCUUCGGGGCUUUUUGGUGAUUCAUGAUAACUUUACGGAUCGCAUAGCCUUGCGCUGGCGACGGUUCAUUCAAAUUUCUGCCCUAUCAACUUUCGAUGGUAAGGUAUUGGCUUACCAUGGUUUCAACGGGUAACGGGGAAUUAGGGUUCGAUUCCGGAGAGGGAGCCUGAGAAACGGCUACCACAUCCAAGGAAGGCAGCAGGCGCGCAAAUUACCCAAUCCCGACACGGGGAGGUAGUGACAAUAAAUACUGAUACAGGGCUCUUUUGGGUCUUGUAAUUGGAAUGAGUACAAUUUAAACCUCUUAACGAGGAACAAUUGGAGGGCAAGUCUGGUGCCAGCAGCCGCGGUAAUUCCAGCUCCAAUAGCGUAUAUUAAAGUUGUUGCAGUUAAAAAGCUCGUAGUUGAAACUUGGGCCUGGCUGGCGGGUCCGCCUCACCGCGUGCACUCGUCCGGCCGGGCCUUCCUUCUGAAGAACCUCAUGCCCUUCACUGGGCGUGCUGGGGAAUCAGGACUUUUACUUUGAAAAAAUUAGAGUGUUCAAAGCAGGCCUUUGCUCGAAUACGUUAGCAUGGAAUAAUAAAAUAGGGCGUGCGUUUCUAUUUUGUUGGUUUCUAGAGACGCCGCAAUGAUUAACAGGAACAGUCGGGGGCAUCAGUAUUCAGUUGUCAGAGGUGAAAUUCUUGGAUUUACUGAAGACUAACUACUGCGAAAGCAUUUGCCAAGGAUGUUUUCAUUAAUCAGUGAACGAAAGUUAGGGGAUCGAAGACGAUCAGAUACCGUCGUAGUCUUAACCGUAAACUAUGCCGACUAGGGAUCGGGCGAUGUUCUUUUUCUGACUCGCUCGGCACCUUACGAGAAAUCAAAGUUUUUGGGUCUGGG